UACGAAGGGGGCAAGCGUUGUUCGGAAUUACUGGGCGUAAAGGGCGCGUAGGCGGCUUACCAAGUCAGGCGUGAAAUUCCCGAGCUCAACCUGGGGGCUGCGCUUGAUACUGGUGAGCUUGAAUGCGGGAGAGGAUAGUGGAAUUCCCAGUGUAGAGGUGAAAUUCGUAGAUAUUGGGAAGAACACCGGUGGCGAAGGCGGCUAUCUGGCCCGUAAUUGACGCUGAGGCGCGAAAGCGUGGGGAGCAAACAGG
RNAcentral lists this ribosomal RNA (253 nucleotides) under uncultured bacterium. Its description in RNAcentral is "partial 16S ribosomal RNA". It matches the Rfam family "Bacterial small subunit ribosomal RNA", at positions 524 to 776 of the family's 1533-position model. The record is from RNAcentral.